Molecule: ribosomal RNA, 488 nt
Filed under: uncultured bacterium
Lineage: Bacteria
Description: bacterial SSU rRNA
Rfam family: Bacterial small subunit ribosomal RNA
Source: RNAcentral
GAUGAACGCUAGCGACAGGCCUAACACAUGCAAGUCGAGGGGCAGCAUAAAGGUAGCAAUACUUUGGUGGCGACCGGCGCACGGGUGAGUAACACGUAUGCAACCUACCUGUAAGAGGGGAAUAACCCGGAGAAAUUCGGACUAAUACCGCAUAAUACCACGAAGCUGCAUGGCUUUGUGUUUAAACAUUUAUGGCUUACAGAUGGGCAUGCGUAUGAUUAGAUAGUUGGUAGGGUAACGGCCUACCAAGUCAACGAUCAUUAGGGGUUCUGAGAGGAAGGUCCCCCACACUGGUACUGAGACACGGACCAGACUCCUACGGGAGGCAGCAGUGAGGAAUAUUGGUCAAUGGGCGAGAGCCUGAACCAGCCAAGUCGCGUGAAGGAAGAAGGUUCUAUGGAUUGUAAAACUUCUUUUGUAAGGGAAUAAAAAGAGUUACGUGUAACUUAUUGUAUGUACUUUACGAAUAAGGAUCGGCUAACUCCGUG